CAGUUAUCACGAAAGGCGGAGGGAAAGACCCAAUGAAACCUUAGCAACCCUUUACUAUAAAGAAGGUGCUACAUUCUACUUAAUACCAACACAGUAUUUAAGAUAGAUAACAC
This 113-nucleotide non-coding RNA is filed under the name Flavobacterium sp. RNAcentral's name for it is "SAM-I sequence". It matches the Rfam family "SAM riboswitch aptamer (S box leader)". From Rfam's summary of the family: The SAM riboswitch is found upstream of a number of genes which code for proteins involved in methionine or cysteine biosynthesis in Gram-positive bacteria. The SAM riboswitch acts at the level of transcription termination control. The record is from RNAcentral. Lineage: Bacteria; Pseudomonadati; Bacteroidota; Flavobacteriia; Flavobacteriales; Flavobacteriaceae.